GACGAACGCGGCGGCGUGCCUAAUACAUGCAAGUAGAACGCUGAAGGAGGAGCUUGCUUCUCUGGAUGAGUUGCGAACGGGUGAGUAACGCGUAGGUAACCUGCCUGGUAGCGGGGGAUAACUAUUGGAAACGAUAGCUAAUACCGCAUAAUAUUGAUUAUUGCAUGAUAGUCAAUUAAAAGGUGCAAUUGCAUCACUACCAGAUGGACCUGCGUUGUAUUAGCUAGUUGGUGAGGUAACGGCUCACCAAGGCGACGAUACAUAGCCGACCUGAGAGGGUGAUCGGCCACACUGGGACUGAGACACGGCCCAGACUCCUACGGGAGGCAGCAGUAGGGAAUCUUCGGCAAUGGACGGAAGUCUGACCGAGCAACGCCGCGUGAGUGAAGAAGGUUUUCGGAUCGUAAAGCUCUGUUGUAAGAGAAGAAACGAGUGUGAGAGUGGAAAG
This 448-nucleotide ribosomal RNA is filed under the name Streptococcus sp. oral taxon 058. RNAcentral describes it as "bacterial SSU rRNA". It matches the Rfam family "Bacterial small subunit ribosomal RNA", at positions 28 to 471 of the family's 1533-position model. Lineage: Bacteria; Bacillati; Bacillota; Bacilli; Lactobacillales; Streptococcaceae. The record is from RNAcentral.